AACGGACGCAAGUCUGAUGGAGCAACGCCGCGUGAGUGAAGAAGGGCUUCGGCUCGUAAAGCUCUGUUGGUAGUGAAGAAAGAUAGAGGUAGUAACUGGCCUUUAUUUGACGGUAAUUACUUAGAAAGUCACGGCUAACUACGUGCCAGCAGCCGCGGUAAUACGUAGGUGGCAAGCGUUGUCCGGAUUUAUUGGGCGUAAAGCGAGUGCAGGCGGUUCAAUAAGUCUGAUGUGAAAGCCUUCGGCUCAACCGGAGAAUUGCAUCAGAAACUGUUGAACUUGAGUGCAGAAGAGGAGAGUGGAACUCCAUGUGUAGCGGUGGAAUGCGUAGAUAUAUGGAAGAACACCAGUGGCGAAGGCGGCUCUCUGGUCUGCAACUGACGCUGAGGCUCGAAAGCAUGGGUAGCGAACAGGAUUAGAUACCCUGGUAGUCCAUGCCGUAAACGAUGAGUGCUAAGUGUUGGGAGGUUUCCGCCUCUCAGUGCUGCAGCUAACGCAUUAAGCACUCCGCCUGGGGAGUACGACCGCAAGGUUGAAACUCAAAGGAAUUGACGGGGGCCCGCACAAGCGGUGGAGCAUGUGGUUUAAAUUCGAAGCAAUGCGAAGAACCUUACCA
RNAcentral lists this ribosomal RNA (616 nucleotides) under Lactobacillus gasseri. RNAcentral describes it as "bacterial SSU rRNA". It matches the Rfam family "Bacterial small subunit ribosomal RNA", at positions 370 to 976 of the family's 1533-position model. Lineage: Bacteria; Bacillati; Bacillota; Bacilli; Lactobacillales; Lactobacillaceae. The record is from RNAcentral.